Molecule: ribosomal RNA, 468 nt
Filed under: uncultured bacterium
Lineage: Bacteria
Description: partial 16S ribosomal RNA
Rfam family: Bacterial small subunit ribosomal RNA
Source: RNAcentral
GACGAACGCUGGCGGCGUGCUUAACACAUGCCAGUCGAACGGAAAGGCCCUGCUUUUGUGGGGUGCUCGAGUGGCGAACGGGUGAGUAACACGUGAGUAACCUGCCCUUGACUUUGGGAUAACUUCAGGAAACUGGGGCUAAUACCGGAUAGGAGCGCCUGCUGCAUGGUGGGGGUUGGAAAGUUUCGGCGGUUGGGGAUGGACUCGCGGCUUAUCAGCUUGUUGGUGGGGUAGUGGCUUACCAAGGCUUUGACGGGUAGCCGGCCUGAGAGGGUGACCGGCCACAUUGGGACUGAGAUACGGCCCAGACUCCUACGGGAGGCAGCGGUGGGGAAUAUUGCACAAUGGGCGGAAGCCUGAUGCAGCAACGCCGCGUGCGGGAUGACGGCCUUCGGGUUGUAAACCGCUUUCGCCUGUGACGAAGCGUGAGUGACGGUAAUGGGUAAAGAAGCACCGGCUAACUACGUG